Molecule: ribosomal RNA, 279 nt
Filed under: uncultured bacterium
Lineage: Bacteria
Description: partial 16S ribosomal RNA
Rfam family: Bacterial small subunit ribosomal RNA
Source: RNAcentral
UGCCAGCCGCCGCGGUAAUACGGAGGGUGCAAGCGUUGUCCGGAUUUAUUGGGUUUAAAGAGUCCGUAGGCGGCUUUAAAGGUCAGGUGUGAAAUCCCACGGCUCAACCGUGGAACUGCGCUUGAAACCAUAAAGCUAGAGGGAGAUAGAGGUGAGCGGAACUGAUGGUGGAGCGGUGAAAUGCGUUGAUAUCAUCAGGAACACCUGUGGCGAAAGCGGCUCACUGGGUCUCUUCUGACGCUGAGGGACGAAAGCUAGGGUAGCGAACGGGAUUAGAUA